Long non-coding RNA from Bombyx mori (domestic silkworm), 1149 nucleotides. RefSeq lists it as uncharacterized. The record is from RefSeq and is a predicted model, not a curated record. NCBI's taxonomy places the organism in Eukaryota, Metazoa, Arthropoda, Insecta, Lepidoptera, Bombycidae. The transcript is spliced from 2 exons.
AUGAUCUCCUCACAUUACGAGGCUGUCUAAGUGGUGAAGGACGAGGUCCAAUCGGCAUAUACAUAUCUACGAACACAUCUGACAGGAGGUCGUCCACCUCAGAAGUGUGUACUACAUCAAUCAAGUCAUUACAGCUGGGACAGUACCACUGAUCUAUAGGGACCUGUUAAAAAUUUAAAUGGGUGGCAGGCAGGAGCUGGAUGAGAGAAGCGGAGGACCAUGCUCAAUGUGUGAACUACUGAUUCAAUGGUAGAAAAGAAAAGAUUUUUUGCACCACAGGCGAUGAAAAGUGGAUACACUACGAUAAUCCAAAGCGUAGAAAGGCAUGGGGUAAGCCCAGCCAUGCAUGAAAAUUCUCUGCAAAACCAAAUAUCCAGGGUUUGAAGUUUCUUCUCUGUAUUUGGUGGUGUCAUCAGGGUGUAAUUUAUAAUGAGCUGCUCAAUCUGAAUAAAAAUAUCACAAGCAUCGCUAUUGACUUCAAUUAAUGUGUUUAUGAGCCUUAAAGAAAAACGGCCACUACACGAACAGAGACAGGACAAAGUGAUUUUGCUACAUGACAAUGCUCUGCCUCAUGUUGCAAAACCAGUGAAAGCCUACCCAGAAACGCUUCAAUGGUAAGUUCUAGCCCACCCGCGGUAUUCACCUGACAUAGCCCCUUCUGAUUUUCACCUAUUCCAUCCGAUGGCACAUGGCUUAACUGACCAGCACUUUCAUUCAUAUGAAGAAGCUAAAAAAUGGAACAAUUCUUGGAUAGCCUCAAAAGACAAAUCGUUUUUCUGAUGCGGAAUGCAUAUACUGCCAGAAAGAUGGGAGAAAGUAGUUGCUAGCCUUUGACAAUACUUUGAAUGAAAUCUUUUUGUUGCUUAUAUUAAAACAAAGCUUUUAUUUUGAAAGUAAAUAGCGAGAACUUAUUCAAGGUCCUAAUAUAGUAAAGUGCAAUACUACCACGUCAUGUAGUAUUAAGUAUUAAAAUACAUACAAUUAAAUUAAAUGUAGAUGUGUAUCUAUUUAUUUUUGUAUUUCAUUGCCCUCUGUACACUUGAAUCUAUCAAUGUCUGUUUUUUCUAUUUACUUUCUACUCAUGUGUAAUGUUAAUAGUGGAAAGUUGCAUGAUUUUGUUUACAUAUUUUUAAUCUCUAUAUACAAAAA